CAGCCACAGAGCAAACUGACAAGGUCUCUGCUCUGAAAGGACGAAAUCGCUUCUGAGCCAAGCAGGCCUACGAAGGCAGGGAAACAGCGUUAUGUGAUAAGGGUCAGGGGUCGGGGGAACGGCUCCAGACUGGGGGGACGGGGUGACCUCCGAGCUGGAAUGUGAAUGAAGAGGAGGAGGCGGGGAAAGAAGCUCCAGAAAGAAGGCCGGGAGGCAGGGCCAGGGGCAAAGGGAAGGCGGACAGUCAAAUCCCGGCUCCCACACCUACUGGCCGUGUGACCUUGGACAAGUCAAUUCCCCUCCUCGACCCUCAGUUUCCCGGCCUCUGAAAUGGGGGUAAUGAUGCCGCGCCCAGAUGGACGCAGGAGGCCCCACUGCAGUGCCCGGAGCAGAUGGGUUCCGUUCUCUUUCCCUCCCCCUCCCCGGGUCUGAUGCCCGGCUGCAAUUCUCAGCCUCUGGAGGGACCGACCCCUUGGUUUCGGCUCAAUGAAACUGACUUCAGACUUUCAACCUCCAGAACUACAAGAAAAUAAACAUCUGUUGUUUUCAGCCACCAGCCUCCCAGAUUGUGGUGACUGGCUAUACUACCCUCAGAAGAGCCUGAGCUGACCCCUCAGCUAAAAUGUGCCAAAGGAAGCUCAGAGAGGUCAAGGGGCUCACCUGAAGUCACACAGCAGGAAGAGGCAGGGACCGGGACCCAGACCACUGGCCUCCAUACCAGUGAUCCACAGAGCCAGGAUGCUGAUGCCCACCCACGAGGACUUGGGCUCUGCAGGAGGACCUCCUUCUCCCUUCUGACUCCCAGCUGCCAGGCCUGUGCCCUCUGGGCUGUGCGCCUGACCAGGAGCCUGACCUCCUGGGCAGGGACCGGUCUCCACUCAAUGAACCUGGAAAUAGAAGCCUCUUCAGUCCUCCGAGGUCCUGGGGCCACCGUGGGGCCAGGGAUGCCCAGACUCGGGUUACCCUGACACCCACAGGGCAGUUCCAGCGAUGGCCACUCAAGAAAGUGGGCUUCACCCACUGGGACCCACUCUCCCCUCACCCUCCAGGCUCCGCCCUGACACACCCUCACUGCCUAACUCUGAAGCUGGGGAGGCACAGGGCUCGAGGGCUGGAUGUUAACUAGCCCUGACUCACGGAGAAAAGCAGAUCCAGGCCGCAGAGCGUCUCCACUGGGGGCCAGCCCAUCUCUAACACUAGAGAGCAAGGCCUCGGGCUCAAAAC
Molecule: long non-coding RNA, 1224 nt
Filed under: Equus asinus (donkey)
Lineage: Eukaryota; Metazoa; Chordata; Mammalia; Perissodactyla; Equidae
Description: lncRNA (ENSEASG00005024687.1)
Source: RNAcentral